This is a long non-coding RNA of Acipenser ruthenus (sterlet), 2031 nucleotides long. RefSeq lists it as uncharacterized. NCBI's taxonomy places the organism in Eukaryota, Metazoa, Chordata, Actinopteri, Acipenseriformes, Acipenseridae. The record is from RefSeq and is a predicted model, not a curated record. The transcript is spliced from 5 exons.
AAGAUACUGCUAUAUGGUUCUCAUAUUAUGAACCAAUACCCAUCGGGGACGAGGCAGAAUUAAGCCCCCCAAAUAUGGGAAUAGUUUCCUAAUGGUGGAUAGAGAUUUUACUUACCUGCCUAUAUUUAUAUAUUUUUGUAAAUAUUGCUUUUUUAUUAUUAUUUUAAUCAACAUAAUACAUACCAAAAAUGGUACAUUUGGCAGAUUUUUGUGUUUUGUGGUAUCAGUUAUAUACGUAUUUUCGAGGUUUUGAAAGGUCCCAGUGGUGUUGUGGCUCCAUAAGCACCGCCCUGUAGUGUAUGUGGCUAACAAAUACCAGAACAUAACCAAAACAGAGAACACUGACAAAAACAAACAGAGCACGUAAUAAACACUAAAAGAAAAUAUAUUACGAAUAAAUAAAUACAUUGUUGUGGUUGUUUAUUUAUGUAGGAUAAGUAUUGCAUGUCAUUACAACAACGUUUUCAGUUCUUAGCAGCAGUUACCCAGCAAACAGGUAACGUAACCGUAAUGUUACUUGUAGGUUGUCUUUUGGUUAGGUUAUUACAGAACGUUCUGCAAACCUUCGGCCAACGUUAUUAGUAUAUUCACCUUGCCAACAGAAAUGUGUUUCAUUGUCAUUAUAAUGUUGAUUUGCAAUUAAUUAGAGUUGAAUGAUGAAGAGUGAAAACGUAAUCUUGGGGGAAAAAAAAGUUAGCAGAUAAUUUUCUUCUAACGUUCCUGCAACAUUACUAAAAACUGGUCUUGGAUGCGAAAGGUUAUUUUGAGUGACGUUUUUCAGAUAAUGCAUAACACCAGCUUUUAGAAAACUGUGUGCUUUAUAAAUGCGGUGUAUUUGUUGGAUCGGCACAGCAGACAGUCACACGUCACAACAGCUGGAUUGUACCAUGAUAGCGAACUCGGGAAAAGACGGUAACUUGGUUUAUUAUUCCAAUACUGCUGGCCGUAGUCUACGCCAAAAUAAUACAUCUGACAGCACUCUAUCCCCAACAGGCUUUCUUGCUGGGGUUUUCAGACAGUUGUAUUCACUCAGCAAUUUGACUGCUCUGCCCCUGGCAGCUACAGUCCCCCCAUAUUUAUCAUUUUAAGCCAGCCCACCCGGCCAGCUAACCGUCUUUCGCGCUCUUUAGAGGCUAUGACCCCCAAAAGAACACUGAAACCCAGCGCGACUAUAACUAUUUCAGGUCUAGGUCAUACGAGAGAUCAGUUGUGAGGUCUGGCAGCUCAGAUACGCCAAGAUCACCUUGCAGGCCAGAUGAAAGGUCAAGAUCAAUUCGCAGAUGGGAUGAGAGGACCCCUACAAGGUCAAGUUGCAGGGGAAGACCCGUGCCGUUCUCUCAUUGCACAAACCCUUCCAUCUCUACAGAGAAUGCCACCAGAAGACUUCCGACUGAAUUUUCAGAGGAGUGUCCUCAUGAAGCUUGACAGCAUUCUUGAGAAGAAGCAGGAAGGCUUGGUCCUAUUGUAGAGGGUGGUUUCUUCCCUUGGCAGCAGUGUGGAGGACAUUGACAAUGUGUUUCCUCGACCCUGGCAGACCAUAGAAGAAAUGGAAAAUAUGUGCACCCAUCUGGAUAAAGAUGCUGACUUGAGGAAAAAAAUGAUCCUGUACCUGAGUUCCAUUGGAGGGACUGACCUGGGAGACACAGUGCCGAAAAUGAUACGCAAGCUGUUUACAAACAAGCUUAUGUCGCGCUACAACAUGAAGGCCAGAAAUGGAAAGCUGAGGUUCCAUUAAAGAAACAACCAAAUGGAACCACAAGGUGACCAGGACAGAGGUGGAGUUGAAAGUAGGGGAGACUGAAACUGGCACCACAUCGAGAGAAACAAAAUCACGUAUGCAGCCAUGACGCCUCCUUCACUUUCCUUCCAUUUAGGUAACCAAGUAAGAGAUUAUGCCAUAUUUGGUCAAAUGGGCCAUAAUACAUUAUGGACUGGAUUUAAUAGGAACGAGCUGUUCUCUAUCAACAAGUGGACAUGUACAUCAUGUACAUUGAGAACUAAUGUGUAUCUGUAUAUUACUAAACAACUUAA